CUACGUGCCAGCAGCCGCGGUAAUACGUAGGUCCCGAGCGUUGUCCGGAUUUAUUGGGCGUAAAGCGAGCGCAGGCGGUCAAUUAAGUCUGAUGUGAGAGCCCCCGGCUCAACCGGGGAGGGUCAUUGGAAACUGGUUGACUUGAGUGCAGAAGAGGAGAGUGGAAUUCCAUGUGUAGCGGUGAAAUGCGUAGAUAUAUGGAGGAACACCAGUGGCGAAGGCGACUCUCUGGUCUGUAACUGACGCUGAGGCUCGAAAGCGUGGGUAGCAAACAGGAUUAGAUACCCUGGUAGUCCACGCCGUAAACGAUGAGUGCUAGGUGUUAGACCCUUUCCGGGGUUUAGUGCCGCAGCUAACGCAUUAAGCACUCCGCCUGGGGAGUACGACCGCAAGGUUGAAACUCAAAGGAAUUGACGGGGGCCCGCACAAGCGGUGGAGCAUGUGGUUUAAUUCGAAGCAACGCGAAGAACCUUACCAGGUCUUGACAUCCCUCUGACCGCUCUAGAGAUAGAGUUUUC
RNAcentral lists this ribosomal RNA (518 nucleotides) under uncultured bacterium. RNAcentral describes it as "bacterial SSU rRNA". It matches the Rfam family "Bacterial small subunit ribosomal RNA", at positions 501 to 1016 of the family's 1533-position model. The record is from RNAcentral.